AUACAAAUCCCAGUUCGGGUUAUAAUAAGAUGUUCAACGGCCCCAAGGGUAACUUUACGAUUCAGAUUUGGGAAGACGAGAACACUGGCUUGAUGAACAUCUUCUCUCAGUCUCCAAACUCUACACUGUCUAAGUAUCACACUACAUUUAGGUACGACUCUACCUGGUUCCGAGUAAGUGACGCUAAUAUCAUCUACAUCAACAGAGAGGUGUCUUCCAGUUCCAAGAUGAUGGAUAGAAUGUUGAAGAUUGAUGAAAUAUCGCAGUGCCGGUUUCCAGUACCGUGUGAUCAACAACCAGAGCUGAUUCCUGUUGACUUGCGUCUACCGUACACUCUUUCUUGUAAGGUAUCUGGAGUCGAGUAUCUCUCUUACAAGUGGUGGAAAGCAGAUACAGAACUCAUCCUGUUAGCUGCUGAAUUGGUUAUACCUGCUUGUUCGGUUGAUGAUCUCGGUCUUUACACUUGCCAGGUGUUCGGUGAGAAUUAUGGAAAGAUAGCAGAAAAUAUGUUUUCUCUCCAAUACAGCAAGAAGAUCAAUGUCCUUUCGAGAGAUCUGGAGAGGAACCCUAUUAUAUUGGUAGAAGGAUGGCCAUUGAAUGAAGUUGAACUUCUGUGCUCAACUGUGGCUGGGGAAGUCCUUCCUUUUUAUAGAGGAAAUGUAUCACAUGAUCACGUGCCGCCUAGAGUCGAGUUAACUGCUACAAAUCCGAAGAAUACUUCUGACAUUAUCUGUGAUGUGAU
Molecule: long non-coding RNA, 742 nt
Organism: Bolinopsis microptera
Lineage: Eukaryota; Metazoa; Ctenophora; Tentaculata; Lobata; Bolinopsidae
Exons: 2
Source: RefSeq, a predicted model, not a curated record